This 495-nucleotide ribosomal RNA is filed under the name Fusarium oxysporum. Its description in RNAcentral is "eukaryotic LSU rRNA". The stretch from base 130 to 283 matches the Rfam family "5.8S ribosomal RNA". The record is from RNAcentral. Lineage: Eukaryota; Fungi; Ascomycota; Sordariomycetes; Hypocreales; Nectriaceae.
AACCCCUGUGACAUACCACUUGUUGCCUCGGCGGAUCAGCCCGCUCCCGGUAAAACGGGACGGCCCGCCAGAGGACCCCUAAACUCUGUUUCUAUAUGUAACUUCUGAGUAAAACCAUAAAUAAAUCAAAACUUUCAACAACGGAUCUCUUGGUUCUGGCAUCGAUGAAGAACGCAGCAAAAUGCGAUAAGUAAUGUGAAUUGCAGAAUUCAGUGAAUCAUCGAAUCUUUGAACGCACAUUGCGCCCGCCAGUAUUCUGGCGGGCAUGCCUGUUCGAGCGUCAUUUCAACCCUCAAGCACAGCUUGGUGUUGGGACUCGCGUUAAUUCGCGUUCCUCAAAUUGAUUGGCGGUCACGUCGAGCUUCCAUAGCGUAGUAGUAAAACCCUCGUUACUGGUAAUCGUCGCGGCCACGCCGUUAAACCCCAACUUCUGAAUGUUGACCUCGGAUCAGGUAGGAAUACCCGCUGAACUUAAGCAUAUCAAUAAGCGGAGGA